UAGCUGGUUGGUGAGGUAACGGCUCUACCAAGGCAACGAUCAGUAGCCGGCUUGAGAGAGUGAACGGCCACAUUGGGACUGAGACACGGCCCAGACUCCUACGGGAGGCAGCAGUGGGGAAUAUUGCACAAUGGGGGAAACCCUGAUGCAGCGACGCCGCGUGAAGGAAGAAGUAUCUAGGUAUGUAAACUUCUAUCAGCAGGGAAGAAAGUGACGGUACCUGACUAAGAAGCCCCGGCUAACUAC
This 246-nucleotide ribosomal RNA is filed under the name uncultured bacterium. RNAcentral's name for it is "partial 16S ribosomal RNA". It matches the Rfam family "Bacterial small subunit ribosomal RNA", at positions 242 to 504 of the family's 1533-position model. The record is from RNAcentral.